Molecule: non-coding RNA, 3001 nt
Organism: Arachis ipaensis
Lineage: Eukaryota; Viridiplantae; Streptophyta; Magnoliopsida; Fabales; Fabaceae
Source: RefSeq, a predicted model, not a curated record
GCCUCUCUUCGAGCCACGCCGCCGCCGUCCGUGUAGCCACUUCCCCCAAGCCUCCAACCCCUGCUCUCUUCUUCCGCGAGCUCGGCCCAUCUGUCAUCUUCGUCUUCUCGCCGUCGUCUGCAUCUUCUCGCCGUAAGAGAAACCACUAUCAGAAUUGCCCCAAGCCCCUUCUCCUCUCCUUCCCUUAGCAGAGCUACUACCCUCACUCAACCUCAACCAAAGAGAAACCCUAGUCUCCACCACCGCAAGGAGUUCGCUACCACCGUAAGAAGAGGUGACACAAGCCGUAGCCACUAGCCAGCCUUUAUUGCCGCCGCCAUUCAGCUCACCACCGCCAUCCCACCGUCGUUCGGUUGUCCUUCACCGUCCAGUCUGCCGUAGCCUCCAACCACACUCUGCUCUUUUGGGAAGCUUUUUCGCGUCUCGUCGCAGCUCCAAUUUGGUGGUCGCCCGUCCUCCGUCUGUCUGCUUCUCGUGGUCGGCAUUCUUGCUCCUUCUCCCUCAAUUGCUGCUCUGAGUUCCUGAAUCUCUGUUUGUUCAUUAUUUUUUUAUGAGGAAGAAAAAGCAACCUUGACAAGCCAUUGCAAGAAAUACCUUGACAAUCCUGAACCCUCAUCACUCUCGGUCUCAGUCUCCCUCUCUAAGGAGUUCACUGCUACACUCACUCAUCACAACGCCAACACCAGCCUCCACCCCUCCACUCAGUCACUCCUCGCCGUCGCCUCUAGUCGUUCAGUAGUGCACCAAUCAUGGACGAAGAGGAGAAACCUCAUUCUCCUCCUCAACCUCUUCCCAACAACGACGAACAUUCUAGAAGAAACCACAUCAAUGCUAACCUCAAAGACUCUCUCUUGUCUCAGCUCGCCAAAUCCAACCCCUCUCUCUCCCUCGAAACACGCCAUGUUUCCUCCCUCAUUCAGCAGCGUCUCAAGAAGAUGUUUCCUUCUUUCCACACCCCCCACGCACCCUCCUUUUGCAUUGAUGAUACAUAGGGCAAUAUCUGAGCUAAAUGAGAAUAAAGGGUCCACUGAAGAAGAAAUUUCUAAUUUCAUUGUAAAGGAGUAUGAGGAUUUGCCAUGGGCACAUAAGAAGAUUUUGGGUAUUCAAUUGGAGAAGCUUUGCCAGGAUGAGGAGAUUGUGUGUAAUGAGGGUGGCAGAUAUGUUCUACAGGCUGAUGGUGAUGGAAUAGAUGGUGAUCGGAAGGGGAGACAGGAAUGUAAGAGUAAGAGGAAGAAGAGAGGAAAGAAGACAAGUCAGCAUAGCAUGGAUGGAGGUGGAGAGCGAAAGCGGAAAAGAGUAAAAAUCUGUGAAUAGAUUUAGAAGAGUGAUAAGCCUAAAGAGGGAAGAGAUGAGGCACAACAUCAGGUUUAUGAUUUAGGUGAUGCUAAGGACUGAUGAGCCAAUUAGUGUGGUGAAAUGGACAGAAGAGAAGGGGGAAGAAGCACUUGACCAGUCAGCUGAAAGGGUUGGAGAGCAGAAUAAAUCACAAGGGGCUGGAGUUGUAGAACAAUAUGUUGAAGCAGAGCCUCUAGCACAGGAGUUACAGGAUCAGUACUCCAUAGUGCACCCAGAAACAAUUUGUUCAUCCCUCCCAACUGUGCUGAAUGUUAUUGAUUACCAGAAGCCACUUGAUCUUCUGGGUUCAGAAUGUGUACUGUCAGAAGGACAAUUGAAACAACAAAUGUCUUCUUUGGAUGUUCCUGAACAAAAGCAAGAUGGGAACUCAGUAUCUGGUGAUCCUGAGAAGCAUUCUCCAAAUAACCAAUGCAGAGGGGGGCACCUGAAAUCUAAGCCAGUUGCAGAUGAUCCAGGAGUGCUUUUUACCGUUACGUGACCUUAUUCUUGAUGCACAAAAGCCCAAGGUAAAUAUUAUCGAGAAGCAGUCGUAGUCAUCUCCUCAAAUUCAAGUUGCAGGUCAAGGAAGGCACAAGGAACCAACAAUGUUUAAAAACAGAGCUAUGUUAGCUCCUGAGAAUGUUCAUAAUGAUCAACCGCUACAUGGAAAUCAAGGAUAUGAGAAUCCAGUAUCUGGGAAUGUUGAGCAUCGUCCAGCUAAGCGUCCCAGAGGAAGGCCCCGUAAGUCAGAGACUGAUGCAAACAACCCAAGGGAGUAUAGUCGUGGCAGAGGCAGAGGUAGAGGCAGAGGUACUGGUAGAGGUCUAGGUCGAGGUCGAGGUAGAGGUAGAGGUCAUGGUCGGGGAAGGCCUCGUAAAAUAGAUCAAGAUGCAAAUCAUUCUGAGCAGCAAUUGCAAACGGAUGAUCAAGAUCAGCAGAAUUCUAGUGGUAGGGGUAGAGGUAGAGGUAGAGGCAUCAGCGGAGGCAUAGGUGAUGGUGUAGGUCGAGGUAGAGGAAAGGGGAGUGGUAGGGGGAGAGGGAGGCCUCGGAAAAUAAAGCUAGACACAAACACAAACCAAUGUGAGGAGCAGUUACAAUCACAAGAUCAUGCUAAAGGUCUGGUUAAAUCAAGGUUUGGUUUCAGAAUCAAAACCUAAAUCACAAGAGGCCUCUAAACCUGAUUUCGGAUACGAACCAGAGGCACUGGUUGAGACUCAAUUACAAGCACCUGAACCCCAGGAUAAUAUGGCCUCUUAAACCAGAUCCAAGGCAGUCCUAGCUGCCCCUCUAUGCUUAGCAACCUCUAUGAGGUUGGAACUUGGAACCAUGGACUUUCUCUAACAAGUCUCUCACUUUUCGACCCAACUUAGGCGCUGGAACAGUCUUUGCCUUCCUUUUUCUCGACAAAGCAGAUCCUGAUUGAUUUUGCAUGUGAAUGGAAGUUUGGAAUAUGAAGUUAACUCAGAAGCAAUUUUCUUGUGGGAUCUGGAGUUUGUCAUUCUUGUAGCUGCAGUAGAUAUUUCAAUUAGAGUUUAUGGAGUAUCACAGUUUAUUUCAAUCAUUUUGUUCCUUGUUUUUUUUUUUUUUGUGGUAACUUAUCCGCAUGGUGGAUUGUUGAUUGUUAGAUAUUAGAUAACAAAACAAAAGUCAAUUGUUCGAAUUAUUA